UUUUAAAUUGAGAGUUUGAUCCUGGCUCAGGACGAACGCUGGCGGCGUGCUUAACACAUGCAAGUCGAGCGAUGAAGCUUCCUUUGGGAAGUGGAUUAGCGGCGGACGGGUGAGUAACACGUGGGCAACCUGCCUCAAAGAGGGGAAUAGCCCUCCGAAAGGAGGAUUAAUACCGCAUAAAGUUAAGGUUUCGCAUGAAACUUUAACCAAAGGAGUAAUCU
RNAcentral lists this ribosomal RNA (221 nucleotides) under Clostridium tetani ATCC 9441. Its description in RNAcentral is "partial 16S ribosomal RNA". It matches the Rfam family "Bacterial small subunit ribosomal RNA", at positions 1 to 216 of the family's 1533-position model. Lineage: Bacteria; Bacillati; Bacillota; Clostridia; Eubacteriales; Clostridiaceae. The record is from RNAcentral.